AUUGAACGCUGGCGGCGUGCCUAACACAUGCAAGUCGAGCGGCAGCGCGGGAGCAAUCCUGGCGGCGAGCGGCGGACGGGUGAGUAAUGCUUGGGAAUCUGCCUGUUAGUGGGGGACAACCCGGGGAGACUCGGGCUAAUACCGCAUACGCACUACGGGUGGAAAGCCGGGGACCGCAAGGCCUGGCGCUAACAGAUGAGCCCAAGUCGGAUUAGCUAGUUGGUAGGGAACGGCCUACCAAGGCGACGAUCCGUAACUGGUCUGAGAGGACGACCAGUCACACCGGAACUGAGACACGGUCCGGACUCCUACGGGAGGCAGCAGUGGGGAAUAUUGGACAAUGGGGGAAACCCUGAUCCAGCGACGCCGCGUGGGUGAAGAAGGCCUGCGGG
Molecule: ribosomal RNA, 392 nt
Filed under: uncultured bacterium
Lineage: Bacteria
Description: bacterial SSU rRNA
Rfam family: Bacterial small subunit ribosomal RNA
Source: RNAcentral